UAAAUAUCCUUUUUAUAAGUUCAUUUUUUUUUAGUAGCUUAUAGAGAAUCGCAUGUCUCUAUUUUAGAUUCCGACGAUUGAUUUCUGCGCAUUUUCGACUGGAUAUAUUUUUUAUCCUAAAGCUGCGUUAAGGUAAGCGACCGGACACUUGUUAGUUUUUCGUAAAAUAAUUUAGAAAAAUAUUUCGAUUGUAUGAAAAUCUUAUUUUGUAGAUUUUAAAAUUAAGGGUUAAGCAUAUUAUUAAAUAUUUCUGUAUAUUGAGCUUCAACUGUGAUUGACGGGUCCUUUUAAUAAAAUAAAUUUUUGAAAUUUGAAAAUCUGUUUUGUAAAUUAGUGACUGGAUAAUUUUUGAAUUAUGAUGUCUCCUGGUAUUAUGCUAUGCUAUGUUG
Molecule: long non-coding RNA, 389 nt
Filed under: Ananas comosus (pineapple)
Lineage: Eukaryota; Viridiplantae; Streptophyta; Magnoliopsida; Poales; Bromeliaceae
Description: long non-coding RNA (ACOM_LNC016934)
Source: RNAcentral